Molecule: ribosomal RNA, 445 nt
Filed under: uncultured bacterium
Lineage: Bacteria
Description: SSU rRNA
Rfam family: Bacterial small subunit ribosomal RNA
Source: RNAcentral
AGAGCGAACGCUGGCGGCAGGCCUAAAACAUGCAAGUCGAACGGACCCUUCGGGGUUAGUGGCGGACGGGUGAGUAACACGUGGGAACGUGCCUUUUGGUUCAGAACAACUCAGGGAAACUUGAGCUAAUACUGAAUAAGCCCUACGGGGAAAGAUUUAUCGCCAUUAGAGCGGCCCGCGUUGGAUUAGCUAGUUGGUGAGGUAAAGGCUCACCAAGGCUACGAUCCAUAGCUGGUCUGAGAGGAUGAUCAGCCACACUGGGACUGAGACACGGCCCAGACUCCUACGGGAGGCAGCAGUUAGGAAUCUUGCGCAAUGGGCGAAAGCCUGACGCAGCCAUGCCGCGUGAAUGAUGAAGGUCUUAGGAUUGUAAAAUUCUUUCAGUGGGGAAGAUAAUGACUGUACCCACAGAAGAAGCUCCGGCUAACUUCGUGCCAGCAGCCGC